RNAcentral lists this ribosomal RNA (274 nucleotides) under uncultured Russula. RNAcentral's name for it is "partial large subunit ribosomal RNA". The record is from RNAcentral. Lineage: Eukaryota; Fungi; Basidiomycota; Agaricomycetes; Russulales; Russulaceae.
ACGCUUGAAGUCAGUCGCGUCGACCGAGACUCAGCCUUGCCUCGGCUCGGUGUACUUCUCGGCCGACGGGUCAGCAUCAAUUUUACCCCUUGGAUAAUGGUGAGGGAAAUGUGACACCUUUACGGUGUGUUAUAGUCUCUCGUCGCAUGCAAGGGUUGGGAUUGAGGAACUCAGCACGCGCCCUCGGGCGUCGGGGUCUUUGCCCACGAUACGUGCUUAGGAUGUUGGCGUAAUGGCUUUAAACGACCCGUCUUGAAACACGGACCAAGGAGUC